RNAcentral lists this long non-coding RNA (5312 nucleotides) under Sus scrofa (pig). Its description in RNAcentral is "lncRNA (ENSSSCG00040015976.1)". Lineage: Eukaryota; Metazoa; Chordata; Mammalia; Artiodactyla; Suidae. The record is from RNAcentral.
CCCUGCCCCAAGUAAAGCUGAAUUUUUAAUGCAUAAGCUUAUUUUUUGAGCUAAUGGUACCUCAGGAUAAAACAUACUCAUGGAUAAUGGGGGGAAAGGCAGUAAACAGAAAGGCAGACAUCUACAUUUAGUCUGGAAUGAAGAGGAAAGCUUGUGAUAGGUGACAAUUUGAGAAAAUUUAGCUGAUACGGAGGAUUCAGUCUGUAUUUCAGCAUCGUUAACAUUUUUUCAUGUAAGGACCAGAUGGUAAAUAUUUUAGGCUUUGUGGGCCUGGAUGCUGUAAUUAUUCAUAGGAAUCCGUGCUUCGGCAAUCAUGUAGUAAAUAAAUAUAUAUUCAGCAUUAAACAUGCUACUAUCACUUUAGUAGCAGCCAUGGUGAACAAAGUACAUCUGUCCUCCAAAGAGUUGGCAAUUAAGUGGAGGAAAGAAAAGACUGGUUCUCACCAAUCAACAAUCAAUCUAUACUAUGGCUUAAGAAACUCUUCAGUGCCAUGUCUGGUAGUACAGAGCUCAGUUUCAGCAGAAUGAAGCAGACGUAGAGCAAAUGAGAGGGAAGAAGGCUGGGGACCCAGAGCUCAACUUGCUACUGCUGAGAUACCAAGACAACAUAGAGAGAGCUCUCUAGACAGGCAGGACACUGGGAGUCCAAAAUACAUGUAACACAUUCAUGAAAACAAACAAACAAAAACAAAACACAGUAUAUUACAGCUUCUAAGAAUGUCAACCCUGGAGCAAAAAAAUGUCUGGGUUCAAAACAUAGCUCUGCCACUUACCAGCCAUGUGACCUUGGGCAAGUUACUCAAACUCCUUCUCCUUUAGUAUUCUCAUCUAUAAAGUGAGAGUGAUUAUAACUCACCAUGUGGUAGCAUUAUGUAAGAAUAAAAUGUGUCCGUAUUUAUCCACCUUCAGAACAGUGCUGGAUGUUUGGUAAAUUCUAAAUAAAUGUUUCCUAUUAUAAUCACUAUCAUGGUCGUUGUUAAUAAAGUAUAAGGAUACUAAUCUGCUUUAUGUAUAGAUACAUUUGUAUGUGUCCAGGAAACUUGAAGUCCCUCUGUGUCUGUAGGCUAAAGAAAGUAAGAACAAAACAAAAUUAAACAACAAAAAGUAAACAAGAAUACAAUGGUCUACUGUUUUUCUAACUGCAUCUGUAGUUAGAAUUUUAAAGCUUAUACAGAAUCAUAAAUAUACCUCAUGAAAUAUUACAAGAAUUUUGUCUUUACUUCUAAAAAAAUUUAAAAUCCUCUCAAUAAGCAGUGAAAACUGUAUUCUGUAUAUUUUUUUCAAAUAAUAGAAUAUUUAAUGAAGGCAUUCUCCAUAUACACAAAUUUCAUUUUUUAACCAAGUCACUAUGACUUGUUUUCUCCAAAGAACUAUGACCAACUGAUCACAGCACUUCCUAGUCUAAUUGGAGAAAGAGGUUUGUUUUUCUAUUUGUGAUGAUUCUUUCCUUUUUCGGGAUGAUUUGCAUUGUUCCACUUAUAUUCACUAUAUUGUGAGCAACCCUUCAGCUCAGCAGCCAAAGCAACAGUGUCAUUGAUUACCAAUACUGAAGAGUUCCUCAAUCAGAAAAAGAUAUAGUACCCAUUUAAGUCACAAGUACUAUACUAACCAUGAGAGAAUUAAAAGGCAACUAAAUCAUGGACUCUGCCCUCAAAAAAAACCAAUAACUCUAGAAGAGUUAGAUAUUCAUAAAAUGCACAUAAAUAUGAGGGAUAUGCUUUAAAUAAUUUUUAAUAAAUGUGAUUGGUGAGCAUGACAGAAUAAUUCUGACUCAUGAUUUGAAGGGAUUCCACUUAUUAUCCCACAUAGUACAUCACAAUCAUCAAUAGAAGAGAUGGAUAAUACAAUAAUAACAACUGGUCAUAGCUUUACAGCUGAAGCUUGGAGGCCCCCACCUCCCGUCCAGAACAAGCAUUCGUUCUUUACUUUACUUUAUCCUGCUGACGACUAGGAAACCUAAGGAAAUGGGUUCAGAAGUCUAAAAGUAAGAGACGGUUUUAGCCACCUUGGGCUGCUGUAACAAAAUACCACAGACUGAAUGGCUUAAAAAAACAAACAUUUAUUUCUCAAAGUUCUGGAGGCUAAGAAGUCUAACAUGAAGAUGCUGGCAGAUUCGGUUCUUGAUAAAGACUCUCUUCCUGGUUUUCAGAUGGCUGCCUCUUCACGCCUCCUCACAGGUGGAAAGAAUGACUGCCAGCUCUCUAGUCUCUCCUGGCAAGGACAUUGAUUCUUAUCAGGAGAACCCUGCCCUCACGACGUCAUCUAAACUUAAUCACCUCCCAAAGGCCACACCACCAACUACCACUAUAUUAUGGGUUAGGGCUUUGACAUAUAAACUGGGGGACAUGAACAUUCAAUUCCAAACAGGGAGAGUCAAGAAACUCGGGAUAAUGACCACCAACUAGUGUAACAAUAUUUUGACAUUUUAGAAGCAUGUUGAUACUUUAAAAACCAUCCAUGGCCUAUAUUGAUGGAAAUAAGCUAAAUAUGUGCCCUGCUAUACUAAGAUGGACCCCAAAAUAUGAAUAGCAUUUAGUAGUUGCAUAUGUUAUGUAAGGCUGAAAGGUUAGGUAUGUUCGUUCACCUCAAUAUAUCAUGUGUAUACAGGUUAUUUGCAUAAUCAUUUCACUGAAUCUGUACCAACUCUGUAAAACUGAUAUACAAAUGGCUCGAACAAUUUGGGGGUUAAGGGCACAAGACAUGCUACUAUUGGAAAAUCAGCAUAUAGCUUUACAGUCAGCCUUCCUUCUGUAUCUGCACUUCCACAUCUGCAGAUUCAGCCACUCCUGGAUCAUAUGCUACUGUAGAUAUAUUUAUUGAAAAAAAUAUUAUAUAGUCCUGGCUACAAAACGAAGAAGAGCAGGUCCCCUUAUCAAUGGCCCUUGAAAAGCAACUCACCCUCAAAAAGAAUCCGCCGCAACUCUACUAACCCAAUGUAGCAGCAUAACCCAUUUUGAUAUUGAAAUUUGAGUGAAAGUAAUUUGGAAUUGAUACCAUAGAGAGGUAGAUUUUCCCUUAUUUUUCUUACCUUUAAGUGCACUGUAAUCCCACAUUUGGUUUUUUUUUUUUUUUUUUUCGUUAAAAUAACUGGAUUGAAUCUAAACACAAUCACAUCUUUUGUUGGUUUUUAUUUGAAUAAAUAUGGCAGGAAGUACUUACUUUAUAACACUAGUUCUGCAGAACCUAUUUCCUUUCCAUGUUCAGAUGUCAUGAAUAUUUAUGAACCCAGAGAUGGAAGCAGUAAAAUAAAAUAAAUUGGUUUGAGCCACACACUAUUCGGUGAUCUUUUCCAGUUCAUUCAACCGACUGCCACUUGACCAAGACCUCACUCAAAUGAACUUACACAUUAAACUACUCACUGAAAAAUUGAUUUCCCAAAUGUUUUCCAAUUACAAAAUCACAUGGGGUUUUGUGGAAGCAUUCUGGAAAAUAAUCAGUAUUGGUAAGAAUUUUAAUUUUGAUACAAAAUUUUAAAAAUCAAAUGCUGGUUAUUGGUUAUUGGUUCUCAGCCCCUCAAGCCCCAUCCUAAAGCAUGCUUUAAUAAAAGUUUGCAUUUUUGUCCUGAAAAGUUUAUAUCUCCUUCUUUGUUAAAGAAAUAUGGAUUCUUCUCUUGACUAUAUGACUUACGGGGCCCUUCUGUGGGAGGAGUGUAAUUCAUGACUCCAUUGUCAGGUAUGGCCAUCUGACUUUCUUUGGUCAAUAAAAUGUAGGCAGAAGUGAUGCAAAUCCAAUCCAAGUAGAAGUUUAGCCAGUUUGUAUUCUGCUAACCCUCUUGCUCUCCCCCUCUGCCAUGGGAAUAGCAUCCUUCAAAUAAGGCCUAUUCUUUCAUAUCAAGUUCCAGAAUGAGGAAAUACAUGAGACCAAAACACAUGAAAACUCCCACCUAAUAAUAUGCAAUAUGAAUGAGAAAUAACCUGUAUAUUUGUAAGCCAUGGGGAUUUGUCAAUGAAGCAUAAGCUAAUAAAGCUGGUACUGGAAAUGGGAUGCUUUCAUAAGAUAAGCCUAAACUAUGUGGCACUGGCUCGUGGUAUCAGGGGAAAGGUAAGGGCAAAACUCUUUUGAAAGUCUGAAAAACAGUCCUAUCUGGAGUUCCUGCUGUGGCUCAGCUGUAAGGAACACAACUAGCAUCCAUGAGGAUGCGGGUUUAAUCCCCGGCCUUGCUCAGUGGAUUAAGGAUCGGGGGUUGCCAUGAGCUGUGGAGUAGGUCACAGUUGCUGCUCAGACCGCACAUUGCUGUGACUGUGGCAUAGGCUGGCAGCUCCAGCUCUGAUAUGACCCCUAGCCUGGGAACUUCCAUAUGCUGCAAGUGUGACCCUAAAAAGCAAAAGAAAAAAAAGGAAAAGAAAACAGUGCUACCAUGUUACAAAGAUGCAGAAUGGUUUGUGAAAGUUUCACCUAUGAUGAUUAAGACAGAUAAUGUUCUGAAUGAGUUUCUGUUAAAGAGGUUGGGAUAAGUAAUAUUACAGAUGAGACUUUGUUGUUACCAGUUAGGUUUAAUAAACUACUACAAGAAAUAAAUUGGCUUAGAAAAGAGCUGACGGAUGUUUAUGGAGGGAAAAUGCGGAAGAUUCAGAAAUAUCAGUGCUUGCAAAAUGAGAGAUAAAAUAGGUAAAAGAUAAAGACAGGGCAGGGCAAGGACCAAAUCCAGGAUGUGGUUGUCAGUGAGUUUGUUUCUGCAUAAAUGAACCUCUCCACAGAAAAGAAACUCAUGGACUUGGAGAACAGACUUGUGGUAGCCAAGGGGGAAGGGGAGGGAGUGGGAUGGACUGGGAAUUUGGGGUUAAUAGAUGCAAACUAUUGCCUUUGGAAUGGAUAAGCAAUGUGAUCCUGCUGUAUAGCACUGGGAACUGUAUCUAGUCACUUAUGAUGGAGGAUAAUGUGAGAAAAAGAACAUAUAUAUGUAUGUGACUGGGUCACCAUGCUGUACAGUAGAAAAUUGACAGAACACUGUAAACCAGCUAUAAUGGAAAAAAUAAAAAUCAUUUAAAAAAUUUUUAAGAAAAAAGGAAAGAAAGGAAGCAAGGAAAGAAGGGAGGGGGGAGGGAGGAAAUGGUACCCUCCCUUAAUUUGCCUUCAGAAUGCUUUUACAUGGUAAAAGGUCUCAGGGAAAAGAGACAGAGAGUAUGGUGCUUCCCCUAAAGACUGAUAAAUUCUAAUUACCUGCAUCUCAGUUUAAAGAGAGGCAUGCUUCAAAAAGAGUUGUGGGUCAAGCUAUUAGGACAAUUAACCUGAGAGAAAUCAAAUAAAUUUGAAGCUGAUAGAAUUUUUAAGUGAGUUGUACUUCCAAAAAAAAAAAAAAAAAANAAAAAAAA